GGGGGCGGAGUCCGCGCACGGCGGGGCCAGUGGUUGGAGAGGCGUAUCACAUGUUUGGAGGCGGGAGAAGCGUCCCCCUUUAUCCAAACUAAGGCUUAGCGGCCUCUGCCCAUUGGUCGGGAACAUAAAAGAGCCCACCCCCCGCCCUGGGCCCUGCCGUUUGCACCAGGCUCUGAAGCUCUUGCCUGCGGAAGGAAUCCGAAGUGCAGAACCUUCUGUUCCCUCUCCGAUGCGAGUACCUUGGGAAGACCACCAAGGGCAGCAGCAGUUGUGGAGUGGACUGAUCUGAACCUAAGAGAUGUUUGUUGUUGAAGGUGGAGCUCGAAAAGUGGCCCAAGCUCUUUGGACAAGCCCAGAAUAUGGCCAGAAGAGGGCACCAGAUCUCAUUAUAGAUGGUUUUGAGCCACUAUGUGGUUACUGGGAAUUGAACUCAGGACCUCUGGAAGAGCAGCCAGUGCUCUUAACCUCUGAGUCAUCUCUCCAGCCCUAUUGGUUUCCUGGUCUCCAAGAGGAAGGACCCAAUGGAUAUCUCCAAUUUAGACUCUCUCUCUCUGCAUAACGUCUAGCUAUGAGUCUCUGUUCCCAUUGCCAUCUGUUGCCAGAAGAAGUCUUCCUGAUGACAACUGGACAAGACACUUAUCUAUGAAUAUAGCAGAAUUAACAGAAGGCAUACCAAUGUUCAUACUCAUGGCUUAUCAUAGUUUUCUAGAGUCCUUCUCCAUUAUUUUAUUUGAAACGUAUGAACAUAAUUCCAUAUUUUAUUUAUUCAUUAAAGUCCCCUUUCUCUAUUAAGGUACAAGAAAGGGCAAAAAAUUCAUUUAAUUUCAGGAAGUCAGCUAAUGUAGAAGGACUUCCAUGAAGGAUAAACUCGAGUUCCAUUUCAGUGGAGAAUGGAAGUCUCCCUCUGCCACAACUCCAGCUCUUUUUCUUAUUUAGAAACAAUGGGUCUUGGCAUCUCAAUGACUGCAGUGUAGCCCAGGGAAUGUAUGUGAACAAGUGAUUGUCUUUUCUUUCUUUUUCUUUACCCUUUGUUUCAGGAGUAAAAACCUUUCAUUUGUAUCUCUCUCCUGAGGUUCUGAGGUCAUCAGAAAGAAAAUGUUCUUCUGUCCUCAAACCCCACAUUUUAUUUGACCUAUCUUAGUAGCUAGUGACUGAUAGUUUGACAAAGUCUCAUGGCUGCUUUGAUUGUUAUGCUACCCACCCCUGUUCAAAUGUUGUUUCAAGAAGGCCUUUCUCAUCAUGCCGAUAUCUAGUUUCAAGUCUCCAAAGGUUUCUGCACCUUUGUAGACACUUGAGCUACAGAGCAUCCUCUGACCUGCUGUCUACCCUGAAUUCAUAUUUAUUUAUUUAUUUUUAGACAAUAUUUUGUUUCAUAGUCCAGGUUUCCCUGGAACUUUGUAUAUGACCCAGGCUGGCCUCAAACCGGAGAUCUCCCUGCCUUGGUUUCCUGAGUGCACAGUUAUGGGAGUGGGCUGAAAUGUCUCACUUGUCUUAUUUCAUAGAUUGGAUUUGAUUUUUAAAUGUUUUUUGAGAUUUUAUUUACUUUUAUAUGUAUGAGUGUUUUCCUAAAUGUCUGUUCUUUGUGCAUGUAGUACCCAACGAGGCCAAAAGAGGCUGUCUGAUCUCCAGGGACUGGAAUUACAGACAGUUGUUAGCUGCUAUGAGGAUGUUAGAAAUUGAGUGUGGACCUAUUGGAAGAGCAGUCAGUGCUUUUAACUCCCGAGUCAUCUCUUUAGUCCCUAGAUUUUGUUUAUUUUUAAUUUUUUGCCAUAUUCAUGAAUAUAUCAGAAUGAUACAUUAUUAUUUUUUCAGUGCAAAACCAUACAUCUCACAUUAUAUACAACAAAUUAUAACACCAUUGUACUCCACUAACAAAAAAGCUAUGCAGUUUGAGUCAUUGUUUCCCUUUAUUUUGCCAGUUAAAACAGGAGUGUGUUUCCUUACUGUUAAACUUACUAAAGCCCUGGCUUGCUUUGGUCCACAGGAUGUAAACUACAGCAACUAUGUUAGAUGUAAGCUUCAGAAUUAUGAUGUUACACUUAUACUGUGUACUUCAGGCUUUAAUCUAAAAUUGCCAUGGCACAACUAGUCUACUGAUCUGAGGAUAUUGUGAAAUGUGGGGCAGAACUGGAUUUCACCUAAAAGCUGGUGUUAACACACUGAGGUAACGUGUGAUCAGCUGAGCCUCUUCAGCUUUGGAUAGAUGUGAGGAAUAUAGGUUAAGGAUUAUUUAUCAAUGAUACUUUGUACUUAUUUAUUAGGUAGAAAUAGUUUGUUGAUACCAUGUGUAAGAAUUUCAGUUUGCAGUCAGAUAGAUUUAUAUAACCUACCAAAAGAUUCAGCAUUAGCUUAUAUAAACAUAAUCAUGUAUAUAAGCAUGAUGUAGAUAAUCACAACUAUCAUAAUGCUAUAGAACUAAAUGAAAUAUUUACAGUAUUAGGCAGGAUUCUGUUUAAUAUUAUUGCUAUACUUAUAGAUGCAUUGCUACUUUGGAGACUAGUAACCUAAUGAUAUAACAGACAUUUAUGAAUUUCAAGAUAAGGAUUCUAUUUUAGAGUCCAUGAUGACUUAAAAAGUAACUCGGGGCCCACACAUCUUGCAUCUUUAGCGUAAUGUCUGUUGAAUGUUAUAGCUGUACUACUUGGGGCAUAUAAGUAAUUGGCUUAGAACUGUUUUUCUUUAAAAAAAAAUAAAAACAUUACUUUACCUCCAUCCCUUGGAAUAUAAAUUACAAUUCAUAUACUGUAGCUGGCAUGUCUGACUUAUUUGUGACCAAGUUUUUGGGUAAAUACAACUGGGAUUUAUUUUGUAAUUUUCCACAUGUCAAUAGAAAGCAGCUUUCUGUUCCCCUCCCUUGCCAUCAGGUCAGAAUAAAUAGACUCUUGAUACAAAGUUGUGGCCAAAGGUUGAAAUUUCCAUGUGAUUGAUGGUCAAAGCACUUACUGGCUGUACCUCCUCUUCUUGUAUAUUACUUCCUAAGCUGGGAUAUAUUUUGUAUAAAAUAUUGAGACAGUCACAGUUCUUUCUGACUCUCAUGUGCCCUUGAGAGUGAAGAAAACCAGUUUAUUAAAUAAAAAAAGCACUGACUUGUGAAUACAUUCUGUAAAGUCUAUGGUUAGUUUUUACUCCUUUAGAUAUAUAGUGU
Meriones unguiculatus (Mongolian gerbil) is the source of this 3145-nucleotide RNA transcript. It is a transcript of the gene named TLR adaptor interacting with endolysosomal SLC15A4, with no coding region annotated. The transcript is spliced from 4 exons. NCBI's taxonomy places the organism in Eukaryota, Metazoa, Chordata, Mammalia, Rodentia, Muridae. The record is from RefSeq and is a predicted model, not a curated record.